This 465-nucleotide ribosomal RNA is filed under the name uncultured bacterium. RNAcentral describes it as "partial 16S ribosomal RNA". It matches the Rfam family "Bacterial small subunit ribosomal RNA", at positions 338 to 795 of the family's 1533-position model. The record is from RNAcentral.
CCUACGGGUGGCAGCAGUGGGGAAUAUUGCGCAAUGGGCGAAAGCCUGACGCAGCGACGCCGCGUGAGGGAUGAAGGUCCUCGGAUCGUAAACCUCCGUCAGCAGGGAAGAACGGUCACUGUGCUAAUCAGCAGUGAAUUGACGGUACCUGCAAAGGAAGCACCGGCUAACUCCGUGCCAGCAGCCGCGGUAAUACGGAGGGUGCGAGCGUUAAUCGGAAUUACUGGGCGUAAAGCGCUCGUAGGCGGUAUGUCAAGUCAAGGGUGAAAUCCCCGCGCUCAACGUGUGAACUGCCUUUGAAACUGGCAGACUGGAGUGUGUGAGAGGAUAGUGGAAUUCCAGGUGUAGGGGUGAAAUCCGUAGAUAUCUGGAGGAACAUCAGUGGCGAAGGCGGCUAUCUGGCACAUAACUGACGCUGAGGAGCGAAAGCGUGGGUAGCAAACAGGAUUAGAUACCCGGGUAGUC